This is a long non-coding RNA of Phasianus colchicus (ring-necked pheasant), 2002 nucleotides long. RefSeq lists it as uncharacterized. NCBI's taxonomy places the organism in Eukaryota, Metazoa, Chordata, Aves, Galliformes, Phasianidae. The record is from RefSeq and is a predicted model, not a curated record.
UCCCAGAGGGGGAACUGCUUGUGGCAGGAUCACAGGGGGCUGGAAGGAGCAGCAACCAUCAGAUGUAGUAGAAAGAAUGGAGUCCAGCCAGCUGUGUGCCAUGCCUGUGGGACUGUGCUUUUGUUCUGCAGAUGUGGCUAGCAGAUAUUACAAGGCCUGCAGCAGGAUAUAAAAAAUGAGGAGAGCAUGGCAUUGGAGGGACAAGGCUGGCCUAAUGUGUUUUGGGUGAGUGAGACCACCAGGCAGCUUUGGGUUACCAGGAGAUGAAAGUCUGCUACCAAAACCAAACACAAACCAGGACAAUGCUGGCAGAAAAAAUAAGUGUUUCUGUAAGAAGAAAUCAGCCAUGGGAUGGCUUUUAUAUUAUCACAAGCUUUGAGACACAGAGUGUUCCAAUAAAGUCGUUACAAUUCUUAUAUCAAGGGCCAGAAGUUUAAGAGGAAGAUAAGAAGUGAAUCCUGGACAUUAUUAUGUGUUCUCCAGACAUGAUGGCCUCCUCUUUGGGACUCUGGCAUUCCUGUGGAAGCAGACAGGCUUCAUAAACCUCAUCUCUCUUUCUCUCCUCUGGAGGUUCUACAAUCUUGAGUAUUUAAAGAUACAAAUGUAAAUGUAUAUAAAUACGACUUUCUACAUAGCAAGAUGACUCUCCUUUCUCCUCCUUCUCACACACAUGAGAGAUGAAGAGUUUUCUUUGCAUCUCAGUCUCUCCCCUACAUUUCUCCUGGAGUCACCAGCACUCUCAAGGCCUCAGAAAGUAAAAGUCACGCAGUUUUUGAGAAAAGCAGCCCUAAGAAUUGGCAGGCUUAAUGGAGCAUAUGUGCAGCUCUUUCCCUUUUCCCCAGCGCAGCACCUCCAGCAUGUGCACACCACAAGUUUCCAGCUGGGUUCUAUGUCAUGAGUGCCUUCUGUUGCUUUCAGUAUCUGUUUUCAAGUCUUCUACAGUGUUUCAGCAUUUUGUUGAAAUAAUUACUGCAGAAAGGGAAAGAGAAGACUAUAGCAACCUAGUGAUGAUGAGAUAUGCCUACAGACUGUCUCAGCACAUGCCGUGAAGAAGCACUGUUUAUCUAGAAGGAGAUGCUCUCGACACUUAAGCCUCCACUUUCCUUGCUGAAGUGUCUCCCACACCUAGGCUGAGAUCAUGAACACUCGAGUGCUGCCAACCUACUCCAAAGUACAAAAGCAACUCUGGUUCCUAGCAAGGCAGCAAAAAAGACAAGUUUCAUGUUAGAAGAGCUCCCACAGAUGAUAGCCCAGUCAUGCUGCUGGAAAAUCUUUCACUCUGUAGAACUUGUUGUAUGUCUUUCCUUCAUCACUGGAACAAAUACCCCACAAGUCUCGACUGCCAACAAGAUUUAAAAGUCUUUAUCCCUGAUGGGCUCAUAUUUUCCCAGUUUCACUGUUGCAUGUAAGAUGCUGCUCAGUCUCACAAGAUACUCCUGAGAUGGAUUGUUCCCUCCUUUUCAAACCUCUUUAUUAUAUUCUGGCUGCAAAGUUGUCUCUAAAGAGAAACAUUUAAAUGGAAUGUUACGGUGAUGUUUGCCUGAAGUACAGUAGACAUAAAUCUCAUCUAGUGGAAGCUGUCCGUGCCCAUGGCAGAGCAGGUUUUGAACUAGAAGAGCUUUAAGGACCCUUCCAACCUAGAACUUCAGAAAAAUACAUCAUUAUCUGGAAACUCCUUGGUCAAGUUUGCAAAGGGAUGCUGGUGUUCCCUGCACUAUUUGGCCUAAACUUGAACAUUUUAUUUCUAACAAGGCUUUUCUGAAGCUAGUGCUCCAAUUUCUUGAAGACUUGCCAUCCAUUGUUCUGAUCUUUUGCUGGCCUGCCAGCACACAAAGCAAAUAUGGUGUCACUGGUGUCUUAGGACUGGAAUUUUUUAAGGCAUGGAUGGGACUAAGGUGCCUGAUCCCAUUAAUUUUGAUGGGAUCUGAGCAUCUAAUUCCUUCAAAGUCUUAUGAAAAUCCCUAUUCAGAUUCCUGAGCAUGGAUCAUCAAUAUGGAGAAGA